This 201-nucleotide unclassified non-coding RNA is filed under the name Glomeromycotina sp. Its description in RNAcentral is "partial contains 5.8S ribosomal RNA and internal transcribed spacer 2". The stretch from base 1 to 71 matches the Rfam family "5.8S ribosomal RNA", at positions 84 to 154 of the family's 154-position model. The record is from RNAcentral. Lineage: Eukaryota; Fungi; Glomeromycota.
GUGAAUCAUCGAAUUUUUGAACGCAAAUUGCACUCUCUGGUAUUCCGGAGAGUAUGCCCGUUUGAGGGUCAUUUAAAAUAAAAAUCGGUGUGGUUGCUGCCUUUAGUGGUGACGCACCGGAUGUGGGUCUUCGUGCCUUGAGUUAAGUAACCUCAAAUAUAUCAUUAUUUUUUCUAACGGUUUUGAAUGAUUUUACAUAAA